UUCGAAGAGGACGAUUAGAAGGUGUAGAAGAGUAAACCGGUUUCACAGCCUCCCUAUUUUCCUCUUUUGUCAUUUCAACAGAUGAAUCAGCUCCUGCGACUGCUUUCAGUACACAUGCAUGUCUUGAUUUUUGACACUGCAGCUUCAAGGUAGACGAAAAAGUGCAAUUCACUACACAUGCAUGUCUUGAUUUUUGACACUGCAGCUUCAAGGUAGACGAAAAAGUGCACAAAUUCUUGAACUUUGUCAAAGAGAGAAUUUUCCCAUUUGUUACUGAAGUUGCAGAAUUAGUCACAGUCCAAGAAAAUCCAAGAUUUUUCUUAGGCUGAGAAAUUGAAGAGAUGGUGGAAAAAUCGUAUAUGCUCUCCAUUGUAGUACACGAUUUGAAAGGUUUAGUCAAACUGGGUUUGGAGCAUUGCUAAUAAGAGGGGUAGUGAGAGUUGCAACUAAGAGUAUUAUGUUUUCUGGUAUUUUAUAAGGUGACUUGUCGAAUUUUAAUCUCACAAAAACAAGUGUGCAGUUUGCAACCAGCCACGCGAAUAAUGUGAAAUAUGUUCUUUCCAAAUGAAGGCGAAGUGUAUCAUUAACCACUAAUAAUAUAUAUAUAUAUAUAUAUUAUUAGUGGUUAAUGAUACACUUCGCCUUCAUUUGGAAAGAACAUAUUUCACAUUAUUCGCGUGGCUGGUUGCAAACUGCACACUUGUUUUUGUGAGAUUAAAAUUCGACAAGUCACCUUAUAAAAUACCAGAAAACAUAAUACUCUUAGUUGCAACUCUCACUACCCCUCUUAUUAGCAAUGCUCCAAACCCAGUUU
Molecule: long non-coding RNA, 814 nt
Filed under: Nicotiana benthamiana
Lineage: Eukaryota; Viridiplantae; Streptophyta; Magnoliopsida; Solanales; Solanaceae
Description: long non-coding RNA (NBEN_LNC029747)
Source: RNAcentral